This 253-nucleotide ribosomal RNA is filed under the name uncultured bacterium. RNAcentral describes it as "partial 16S ribosomal RNA". It matches the Rfam family "Bacterial small subunit ribosomal RNA", at positions 524 to 776 of the family's 1533-position model. The record is from RNAcentral.
UACAGAGGGGGCAAGCGUUAUUCGGAAUUAUUGGGCGUAAAGGGCGCGUAGGCGGCCUGGCAAGUGGAAGGUGAAAUCCCUCGGCUUAACCGAGGAACUGCCCCCCAAACUGCUUGGCUUGAGACCGGGAGAGGUGAGUGGAAUUCCCAGUGUAGCGGUGAAAUGCGUAGAUAUUGGGAGGAACACCAGUGGCGAAGGCGGGUCUCUGGACAGUUCCUGACACUGAGACACGAAGGCCAGGGGAGCAAACGGG